Molecule: unclassified non-coding RNA, 347 nt
Filed under: soil metagenome
Description: partial contains 5.8S ribosomal RNA, internal transcribed spacer 2, and large subunit ribosomal RNA
Rfam family: 5.8S ribosomal RNA (bases 1-120)
Source: RNAcentral
GAUGAAGAACGUAGCGAACUGCGAUAAGUAAUGUGAAUUGCAGAAUUCAGUGAAUCAUCGAGUCUUUGAACGCACAUUGCGCCCCCUGGUAUUCCGGGGGGCAUGCCUGUCCGAGCGUCAUUGCUGCCCUCAAGCACGGCUUGUGUGUUGGGCCGUCGUCCCCCUCCUAGGGGACGGGCCCGAAAGGCAGCGGCGGCACCGCGUCCGGUCCUCGAGCGUAUGGGGCUUCGUCACCCGCUCCGUAGGCCCGGCCGGCGCUUGCCGACGACCAUCAAUCUCUUUCUCCAGGUUGACCUCGGAUCAGGUAGGGAUACCCGCUGAACUUAAGCAUAUCAAUAAGCGGAGGA